This 1372-nucleotide ribosomal RNA is filed under the name uncultured bacterium. Its description in RNAcentral is "bacterial SSU rRNA". It matches the Rfam family "Bacterial small subunit ribosomal RNA", at positions 28 to 1381 of the family's 1533-position model. The record is from RNAcentral.
GACGAACGCUGGCGGCGUGCCUAAUACAUGCAAGUCGAACGCUGACGGAGGAACUUGCUUCUCCUGAUGAAUUGCUGACGGAUGAGUGACGCGUGCGUGACCUGCCUGGUAACGGGGGAUAACUAUUGCAAACGAUUGCUAAUACCGCAUAAGAGUAGAUGUUGCAUGACGUUUGCUUAACAGGUGCACUUGCAUCACUACCAGAUGGACCUGCGUUGUAUUAGCUAGGUUGAGGAGGUAACGGCUCACCCAGAGCAACUAUACAUGGCCGACCUGAAAGGGUGAUCGGCCUCACUGGGACUGACACACGGCCCACACUCCUACGGGAGGCAGCAGUAAGGAAUCUUCGGGAAUGGACGGAAGUCUGACCCAUCAACGCCGCGUGAGUGAAGAAUGUUUUCGGAUCGUAAAGCUCUGUUGUAAGAGAAGAACGAGUGUGAGAGUGGAAAGUUCACACUGUGACGGUAUCUUACCAGAAAGGGACGGCUAACUACGUGCCACCAGCCGCGGUAAUACGUACGUCCCGAGCGUUGUCCGGAUUUAUUGGGCGUAAAGCGAGCGCAGGCGGUUAGAUAAGUCUGAAGUUAAAGGCUGUGGCUUAACCAUAGUACGCUUUGCAAACUGUUUAACUUGAGUGCAAGAGGGGAGAGUGUAAUUCCAUGUGUAGCGGUGAAAUGCGUAUAUAUAUGGAGGAACACCGGUGGCGAAAGCGGCUCUCUGGCUUGUAACUGACGCUGACGCUCGAAAGCGUGGGGAGCAAACACGAUUAGAUACCCUGGUAGUGCACGCCGUAAACGAGGAGUGGUAGGUGUUAGACCCUUUCCAGGGUGUAGUCCGGCAGUUACCGCAUUAAUCACUCCCCUUGGGGAGUCCGCCCCCAAGGUUGAAAUUCAAAGGAAUGGCCGGGGGCCCCCCCAACCGUGUGGACCAUGUGGUUUAUUUGGAAGCACCGGGAGGACCCUUCCCAGUUCUGGCCAUCCGUGAGCCCUCUAGAGAGAGAGAGUUUCCUUUCGGGACUGAGAGUGCCAGUGUGGUCCAGGGUUGUGUUCACCUCGUGUCGAGAGAUGUGGGGUUAAUUCCCCCACGAAGCCCACCCCCUACUUUUAGUGCCCAUCAUUCAGUCGGGCACUCAAGCGAGACUGCCGGUAAUAAACCGGAGGAAGGUGGGGAUGACGUCAAAUCAUCAUGCCCCUUAUGACCAGGGCUACACACGUGCUACAAUGGCGGAUACAGAGAGUAGCAAGCCGGCGACGGCAAGCUAAUCUCUCAAAGCCAGUCUCAGUUCGGAUUGUAGUCUGCAACUCGCCUCCAUGAAGUCGGAAUCGCUAGUAAUCGCGGAUCAGCACGCCGCGGUGAAUACGUUCCCGGGCCU